UCUGGUUUAGGAACCUCAGGCUUGGGAGUCUCCAUCAACUUAGUCCCCUCGUGCUUUGGAAAUUCAGGUAACUUGGGAAUGUCUAGUUUAGGGAGCUCCGGGAACUUAGGAACUUCGAAUUUAGGUAGCUCCGGGUGAGGAAGUUCAGGCAAUUUUGGUAACUCCAUGUGAGGUAGUUCGGGCAGUUUUGGUAUCUCCAUGUGAGGUAGUUCAGGCAAUUUGGGUAUUUCCGGUUUAGGAAUCUCCUCCACUAACCGGCGAGCUCCCACUGAAACCGGAUUAGCUAGCAAUGCAGUUAGACAGAUGAUGAGAAGUGGUGAUGAGAGGAGAAGAGCAAAGAGGCUCUUCUUCAUCAGUGCCAUGGUUCUGCUUGCUUGCUUGAAUGAAAAGUGUUUGCCUUCUUCUUCUUCUUCUUCUUCUUCUUUUGCUUUGAUGUGUGUUUGUUUGUUUUUGGUUUUUGAUGAGUUUUUGGUCUUUGAUUCGAAUGGUUAUUUAAAGGUGUUGAGAGGAAGAGGGAAGAUGAGUUUGGUGGGAAAAUAGUCUAUAUAAUUCAAAAAGUUCGUUUAACCUCUCUAUCUGUAUUCUAUCUAGUUGACUUUUAGAUCCUAAUGUUUACGUGUUCAUUUUUUUGUUACACGUCUAUCUUGAAAAUAAUCAUCAAUUAAACCAAGUUUAUUAACAAUCACUAAGAAAUCAAGUUUGAGGCUUGAUCAAUUGUGCCUUACAAAUAUCUAGCCAGUUGUGUUGAUUCUGACGAAUCAAAAUUUCAAGAUGAAUAUUUUUUGCACAUAAAUUUGGUAAAUUUGCAAGUACGAAACGAAAAGCAGCUUCAGAUUAAAGAAUGAAAGCAAACAACGUUUAGGUUGUGGUCGGUAAUCUACACAACGACUGUAGAUCCUUUUGCCUUGUGUGGUAUGUUAUGCUAUUUGUCAUCAAGUCAUUGAAGUACAAUAUAUUGUUUGAUAUAUUUGAUCUUCAGACAUAUUUUACAAAAGAAAGUUAUAGAAUUGGGUAUAACUUCAGCCGGUAACAACUUUCUUUCAAUAAAAUGUAUAAGCCAAAAUGAAACAAGUCUGAUCAGAAGCUUGCUACCUCUAAUCUGAGAAAACAAGUGUUGGUGCCUUACUUCCAUCGCAACUAUAUCAUCCGAAACCAGUUCUUGGAUAUGAUACAUAAAGGUUAUACAUAAGAUUACAUUACAUUGAUUCCACAAACGAAUCAAAGCUACAUCAUUUUCAACUACUAACAAUACAUAGGCCCGAGAACAUGCAACCACAAAACAAACAAGGACAUAAUAAAGGUCUUACUUUCACUAAGUAGCCUUGACCUUAUCAGCUACAACAACACAAAAGUAUUAACAUAUUUUUCAAGAACUCAUCAAGUUCCUCAAAAAACUCUAUCCUUUUGAUAUCAUCCUCCUUUCUUAUUCUUCUUUGCAUGAUCUCUCUCCUCAUCAUCAUCAGAUAUGUUAAUAUAUAACUCGUCACCACCAUCCUCCACGUCGUGAUAGUUUCUUGGAGCUGGUGUUUUAACAUUUGCCUGAUGAUGAUCAGCGCUUAGCACAGGGCAGUGGAAGAGAUGUGAAACCGGCGACCAACCAGAACCAGAGGUUUUAGCAUCACCUGAAAACCCUACCGGAAACAUAGCCCACGAACAGAAAAAGUAAACGCCCUGGCCAUUACUCUCCACCGGCGGCGUCUCCAUCUUAACCGCUUCAAACGCUCUCCCACACUGCUGACACCUCAACGCGCAUUCCUCGUAGCCCUUAGGGUACUCGAAAAGCGCGUAACAGUACGGACACGCCGUCCAAAAGCUCGCAGCAUUAGGACUCUCCGAGGUCUCAGCUAACUGCUCCCGUUGGCUUUGAGGUUGACCGAGUUGGUGGUCGUAGAUUGAUUUUCUCGGAGGAUCGGAGAGGACGCACCAAGCCUCAGCUUGAGCGCUUGGUCGGCGAAAGGGAGACGGUUCACAGUGGGGUUGAGGAGAAGAGCGAGUCUACGGUACUGAACCGCGACGCGUUCGAGGCUUUGGGUUAGUUUCUCGAGUCGGAGCACCGCGUACCAGUCAGGUAGUUUAGAAUCUCCGACGGUGGAUUCUCCGGCGAGGAGAGUGUCGGCGAUGGCGAUGAUGUAGUCUGCUGCAUGUGUUCGGGACGAGUCGUCUUCGCAUGCGCGGAUGGCUAAUGCCUUUGCUCCUUUGAAGUCACUUGAGGCUAGAAGCUCCUUCGAUGUGACUAGCCACCGAUCCGCCUCCGCUCCGUUAUCGUCGCCGCUGACCAUAUCUUUGUUUCUCAACCUUUGUUUUUGAGUAAAUACAGAACAGUGUUACUUUGCUAGUGGACCAACAAGACACUGUCGGACUAUACACAAUAUCUAUGGGUAGUUUUGUCAUUUCCACUAGGCCUCUCUAAACCGGCCGGUAUAUAGCAUACCAAUGAUUGUUAUUGAACUGAUCUCAAGUUUUUUUUUUGUCUUGGUCAACCAUUGUUAUUAGGACAAUUUUGCUUUCCCACAUCUUUGUCUGAAUAUAGUAAAUUUUGGGAGAUUUCUUUAACAAUUUCUUUACAUUUGAAGUUAUGAACCAAUAUAACUCCUGACAAUGCGGUUUUGAUUAUUAACGUGGAACAUUCUCAUGAGGUGAAACGGUAAGAUCGGAGGUGGUGGUAAAGACUGUAAUAACAGCCACACAUCAUCCUCUAUUUCUUUUUCUUCCCACGCAUUUUGUUUCUCUGAUAUAACAAAAACUAUUAGAGAUUAGAGAAGAAUUAAAGACGAUCGAUAAUAGAGAUUGGUUGCAACAAUGGAUGAAGAGUAUGAUGUGAUUGUUCUUGGUACUGGUCUCAAGGAGUGUAUUCUUAGUGGUCUCCUCUCUGUCGAUGGCCUCAAGGUUCUCUUUCAAUUCAAUUCCAAAUGCAUGAUUAUUUUUGUGCAUGAUCACAUGCAUGUAUACUAUAGCUUUAUUUUUACGUUUAGUUCUGGUUUUUGUUUUAGUUAUGAAUCUUAUGUCAGAUCAAUAGUUGAAUUGCCGCCUUUGGCAGUGAAGUAUAGUGCUCCAAUAAUAGCCUUUUGACCUUUGAACGAGAUUUUGUUUCGUAGACCAUGAAUGAUAUUAUAAGAUGAUUAGUGUGAAGUGUGUUAUUUUAGAAACACAUACAUAAAUACAUUUAUCUUUCAAAUAUGUAAUCAUCUAUAUAGGUACUGCAUAUGGAUAGAAACGACUACUAUGGAGGAGAAUCAAGCUCUCUUAACCUCACUCAGCUAUGGAAGCGUUUCAGGGGAAGUGACACUCCUGAAGAAAAUCUUGGAGCAAUUAGAGAAUACAAUGUCGAUAUGAUCCCAAAGGUAUGUACAUAUCUAUUAGUGAAUAUUCACAUAUAUGUAAUGUGAAUCGAUAAAUAAGGAGAUAAUGGUUUCUUGAUCUGCAGUUUAUAAUGGCUAAUGGACUCCUUGUUCAAACCCUAAUCCACACUGAUGUCACCAAGUAUCUUAACUUCAAAGCCGUUGAUGGCAGCUUCGUCUACAAUAAGGGCAAGGUAGUGAUUAAGUCUAUUUUUUUUACCUUAAAUAUAAGUAACUACUAGCUAGAGAUUUUGAUCAUCCGUACCAUUCAAACGUCAGAUCUAUAAAGUCCCAGCCACUGAUGUGGAAGCCCUAAAGUCGCCAUUGAUGGGACUAUUCGAGAAACGACGUGCGAGAAAGUUCUUCAUCUAUGUGCAAGACUACGAUGAGAAGGAUCCUAAGUCUCACGAAGGACUUGACCUUAGCAAAGUCACUGCUAGAGAGAUCAUCUCGUACGUCCAACUCAAAAUCAUUUCAUCAUUUGUUUCUUGCGUUACAAGCUUUGUCUCUCUGGUUUCUCUUUUCCCAAUAGGAAGUACGGACUUGAAGAUGAUACAAUCGACUUCAUCGGUCAUGCCUUAGCGCUUCACAAUGACGAUGACUACUUGGAUCAACCAGCCAUUGAUUUUGUUAAGAGAAUCAAGGUAAAGUGUUUUAUUUUCUUCUUGAAUAUGGAAAUGUUCUGAUCUCAAUGUGCAUUUUAUUGUUUGUUAUGUGGUAAAGCUCUACGCAGAGUCCUUGGCUCGAUUCCAAGGAGGGUCUCCUUACAUCUACCCACUGUAUGGUCUAGGAGAGUUGCCACAGGUCCGUGUUCACCUUAUUCUCAUGAAACAUGUUAGGUUUCAUCUUAAUUUAAGACCAUUUUCUAUGUUAAAAUCUCUGUUUAUAUUCUCAGGCUUUCGCGCGUUUGAGCGCUGUGUAUGGAGGGACUUACAUGCUGAACAAGCCUGAAUGCAAGGUUACACACCAUCCAUAAUUAAUCUCUUCUUUCUCGGUUUUGUUUAUUAGAAAUCUCAUAUCCAUAAAUGUAUAAGAUAGCUCGAAACUCAUGAAUAUCUUUAACAUUAUCCCUAACAGGUUGAGUUUGAUGGCUCCGGAAAAGCUAUCGGUGUCACUUCUGCAGGAGAAACUGCUAAAUGCAAGAAAGUUGUCUGUGAUCCUUCUUACUUGUCUGACAAGGUAACUCUAAACCCAUUUCACCUAUAAAGGUUGGUUCACCACUUGAUUCUCGCAAAGGCCUAGUAACGUUCUAAUAAGACGGUUUCCUUGUGUUUCAGGUUAAGAAAGUUGGGAAAGUGGCUCGAGCGGUGUGUAUAAUGAGCCAUCCUAUUCCAGACACCAACGACGCUCACUCGGUCCAAAUCAUUCUUCCACAGAAGCAGCUCGGACGCAAAUCAGACAUGUAAGAGAUUAUAAUCAAAAUUGUAAACUUUGAAAAAAUUAUUAUGUUUUGAAUUUUUAUUUGUUUAGAAUUAUGAAAAUAGAUAAUCACAAAAAAUAUACUUUUAUAACUAAAAUUAAAAACUUUGAAACAUGAGUAUAAUUUAGUACCACUACAACAAACGUAAUAAUUUCUUAGUUGUUAGUUAAAGUGAAGCCCGUAUGCUUGGUCUUCUCUUUCACUUUUGUUUUUGUUUAUAAUAAUUAACGAGCCAAAUAGUGGAAGUAAGUUUUAACUUUUUCUGGGUGGUUUCUUUAAUUAUUGUUUCAAAUUAUUUCCUUUAGGUGCGUGGGUGGGAUGUUUUGGAACAUUUACGAUGAUCAUAGGAUAAACACGUACAUACUUCAUUUUCUUGGGGUUUAAGAAAAAAACAAAUUACAUUAGAACUUUUGUUUGUUUACUUGUUCAGGAGUAUAUAGCUAGCUAAGAAAACACCAUUUUAUCCCAAUCGUUUUUACAUUUAGUGUAAGACUAUAUAGUAAAUAGUAAUAUUUUAAUAAGAAAUUUAACAAUUUGAGUAGCAUUACCCGUAUUUGAUUGAGAAAGGGAAUAAAGAAAAGAAAAAAGAAAAAGGGAAGCAAGUGAAUGAUUAAAGAAAUGCACGGGGAUUAAGUGCUUAAUUGCCUUGACGACUACUUUUUCCCAUCCUUUGUUUCUUUCUUGCUUUUUGAAUUUUUUUCUUCUAAAGAUUGAUUUCUUGUUACCUUGUUCAUGUGUUUUGUUUGAUUUGAUAUGAGGAUAGUUGUUACCGAGUGAGACCAGAGGAGGAGCUAUAUGAUUACUAUUUUCAAUAUGAUUUCAAACUACUUUAAAAUUUCUAAAUUUCUAGGAAACAAUUAUGCUAUCUGUUGAGAAAUAAUCAUUUAAAACAUGUUAAGAUAAGACUGCUGAAUAUGAUAUUUAAAUAUAAGCUUCACAUUGUCAAGGAAGACUAAGCUUUGCUAAGAUGAGUAGCCGUAUGAAAUUGGGUCUAUUCCCUAACUCAAGACUGAUAAAUGAGCCAUAAUUCUAUCCUAAAGUUGGGCAUAUUCACCAAAGUUGGACUGAUAAUUGCCCAUUUAAAGCUUUCAGUUUCUUUUUUUGGGCCAACGUAAGCUGUCAGAUAAGAAGACUUGGCAAAGCUCUCAACAUCUGGUGUACGUAAAAUAAAAUUUGUCAAAAGAAGUCAUAGAAAAAAUGAUGUUGAUACUAAUUUUUUUUUUUUUUUAAACAUUGCAUUCAUUCAAACCUACAAGGAUGAUACAUGGGUGAGAUACAAAGCCAGCAGCACACAUCAGUGUCUCUGGAAACAAAGCUGGACAAACCGAUGUUGAUACUAAUUACAAAACGUAAUAGUAAAAUAUAUAUUUUGUACCACAAGAAAAGCACACAAGCUACACGAGAGACUCAGUACAAAGACUAUUCAUUUCGAGACGUCAGUGACCCAAACAUGACAUGAAAAUGCAACAAUGCAUAAGUACUAUCUCGUGUUUCAUAAAACACAAACAAGCCUAUUAUUACACCAUAUACUUUUAUUUAUCAUUAUUCAGGCAAUAGCAGUGUAUAUAGAUUCCCUUUUAAUGUUCUCAAUCCAUUGAUCUAUGGCUUCUUGUUCGAACCACUAGAAGUUUCCUCGGAAAUAACACUUGUAGGUUUUGUCUUUUCAGUCUUUGGUAAACCGCCGUUAGUACCGGGAAAAGGGAAGCUUGGGAUCCACGAGGGGAAUUCAAAACUCCCUUCUUCUGACUCCUUUGGUGGCUCCUCUGGUUCCUCAGGAUCUUCUGGAAUCUCCGGCUCCUCCGGCUCUUCUGGAAUCUCCGGUUCCUCCGACUCCUCAAGCCUAUUAUAUUGUGGAAUCUUUGUGGCCUCUUCUUGUACCAGAGAGUGACCUAUUCUAGCAGCAAAAAUAGGUGUAGCAAACAAAAGGGACGACGAAAUAAAAACAAGGAAAAACAUAAAAGAGACAAGAAUAGGAAUGCGAAGAUUAAUCAUUUUUGUGAUAUGGUAUUUUCUCUUGAAUGGAAACCAGCUUGAAGGGUCAAGUAAUAUUGUGAGUGAACAGAGUCUGUGUUUUGGUAUUGUGUAACGAGUGAGUUGUUAUAUAUUACAUAGACGAGAGAGCUAUUUAUAAUGUAAUUUUCAUAGGUGUCAACAAAUAUGGUGAGAAGAACUCUAAUCACCAUUUUGAGUUUUUGAUGUUAGUCUUCAACAAACUCACCUAUAUUUUCAUUUAAUUUUACUUCUUAUAUGUAUAACUCCUUUACGUUUAAUUAGCUGAGAACUUAAAGUAGUUUACCUGUUCAAGUUAUAAACAUUAGACAUUACAAGAAAACUUGUAUAAUGGAUAGAUCAAUCUCACCUAUCUAGUCAAAAUAGAUAGAAACAAAAGAAGCUCCUCAAUCAAUUUUAAAAGUAUCCAAUUAGUAAAAUAUAUUUUAUAUAUAUGAGGAGCAAAAAUCAACUAAAUACAUUGUAAAAGUCUAAACCCCAUGGUGGUAUUAAAAAGGAAUUCACCAAAACAAUAGUAAUAGAUGUGAACUUCUUGUAAGGAUUCACUUGAGACUUGAGAGGGAUAAACGUAGAGGACUGUCACCGUGUGGCACCUUGACCAGGCAUGCUUAGCCGGUUUCAAGAGAUUGAGAGCUCUACGUGUAGUGUCUAAUCAUCUCUGGUUAAACAUUUCACACCAAUGAUGCUUCACAUCAUUUCAGGCAUAAUCACCAUGUUCUUUAAAUGUGUCCUCACUACUUCCUAUUUUUCCGUUUAACCAAGUUUUUUUUAUUUAAUAAACCUAAAGGAUCUUUGCCUGUUCAGAUGAAUAGAAUCGAUAUUCAUAAAAUUAGCCCGUAUUAUUUGAAACACGUGAACAAUUGUUUUUAGACAAAACGAUUAAUUAACAUAGAUAAGUAACACAAACCAUUAAAAGAGUAUAUGAAACACAUAAUGAAACAUACAAGUAUAACAGAUUACAAGUAUAAGUGUAUGAAGAAAGGCUAUCAGAUCAAACCAUAGACAUGGUUCCCUAAGUAACCGACGAUGAGAUAGACACACAAGACAAAGGUGAUAUAGUAAUCUAGAUCAUGGGCGUGGGCCUUAAAGUAGAUGGGCUUUCAUACAGUUCAAUAGGCUUAGUGAGUUCCAGGCACUUUUGGGAGUUCCGGCAACUUGGGAACUUCAGGCAUCUUAGGUAGCUCCGGUUUUGGAAUCUCCGGCAUUUUUGGAACCUCAGGUUUCUGAAUCUCCGGCAUCUUCGGCAACUCCGGCUUUGGAAUCUCUGCCAUCUUCGGCAAUUCCGGUUUUUGAAUCUCCGGCAUCUUUGGCAGCUCCGGCAACUUAGGAGCUUCAGGCUUUUGAAUUUCCGGAAUCUUUGGUAGCUCCGGUUUAGGAACCUCUGGUACUUUUGGUAGCUCCGGUUUAGGAAUCUCUGGUACCUUUGGUAGCUCUGGUUUAGGAACCUCUGGUACCUUUGGUAGCUCCGGUUUAGUAAUCUCUGGUACCUUUGGUAGCUCCGGUUUAGUAAUCUCUGGUACCUUUGGUAGCUCCGGUUUAGGAAUCUCUGGUACCUUUGGUAGCUCUGGUUUAGGAAUCUCCGGCACCUUUGGCAGCUCUGGUUUAGGAACCUCAGGCUUGGGAGUCUCCAUCAACUUAGUCCCCUCGUGCUUUGGAAAUUCAGGUAACUUGGGAAUGUCUAGUUUAGGGAGCUCCGGGAACUUAGGAACUUCGAAUUUAGGUAGCUCCGGGUGAGGAAGUUCAGGCAAUUUUGGUAACUCCAUGUGAGGUAGUUCGGGCAGUUUUGGUAUCUCCAUGUGAGGUAGUUCAGGCAAUUUGGGUAUUUCCGGUUUAGGAAUCUCCUCCACUAACCGGCGAGCUCCCACUGAAACCGGAUUAGCUAGCAAUGCAGUUAGACAGAUGAUGAGAAGUGGUGAUGAGAGGAGAAGAGCAAAGAGGCUCUUCUUCAUCAGUGCCAUGGUUCUGCUUGCUUGCUUGAAUGAAAAGUGUUUGCCUUCUUCUUCUUCUUCUUCUUCUUCUUUUGCUUUGAUGUGUGUUUGUUUGUUU
Molecule: long non-coding RNA, 8814 nt
Filed under: Brassica napus (rape)
Lineage: Eukaryota; Viridiplantae; Streptophyta; Magnoliopsida; Brassicales; Brassicaceae
Description: long non-coding RNA (BNAP_LNC009009)
Source: RNAcentral